Molecule: non-coding RNA, 237 nt
Filed under: Heyndrickxia shackletonii
Lineage: Bacteria; Bacillati; Bacillota; Bacilli; Caryophanales; Bacillaceae
Description: Bacillus shackletonii T-box sequence
Rfam family: T-box leader
About the family: Uncharged tRNA acts as the effector for transcription antitermination of genes in the T-box leader family. T-boxes are found upstream of many aminoacyl-tRNA synthetase genes and some amino acid biosynthetic genes usually in Gram-positive bacteria.
Source: RNAcentral
UUUAUAGCGAUGAAGAGGAAAGUAGUUUUUGCUAUAUUCGAUAGCGAGCCGGGGACGGUGGAAGCCUGGCGAUGAAGCAUGAAUGAAGAACACCUUUGAGUUCUAACCGAAAGGGAUAUCUUAAGUAGGCUUAGACGUUACCAGCACGUUAUCUGACUGGGGUAAGCAAUAUUAGCUUUAAAGUUGGUCAAAUGACAAUUUGGGUGGUACCGCGGAAGUCAGCCUUUCGUCCCUUUU